This 253-nucleotide ribosomal RNA is filed under the name uncultured bacterium. RNAcentral describes it as "partial 16S ribosomal RNA". It matches the Rfam family "Bacterial small subunit ribosomal RNA", at positions 524 to 776 of the family's 1533-position model. The record is from RNAcentral.
UACAGAGGGGGCAAGCGUUGUUCGGAAUUACUGGGCGUAAAGGGCGCGUAGGCGGCCCGCUAAGUCGAACGUGAAAUCCCUGGGCUCAACCCAGGAACUGCGUCCGAUACUGGCAGGCUUGAAUCCGGGAGAGGGAUGCGGAAUUCCAGGUGUAGCGGUGAAAUGCGUAGAUAUCCGGAGGAACACCGGUGGCGAAGGCGGCAUCCUGGACCGGUAUUGACGCUGAGGCGCGAAAGCCAGGGGAGCAAACGGG